GUUCGUUUGGUCGCCGCAGGUACCUGCGUCUGCGGCUGCGGCGAUCUUUUUCGGAAAUCUUGUUCGUUUGAUUGACGCUGGUACCUGCGUCGAUCUGCUGCGUCUAACGCCGAAGCCUGCGUCUGACGCCGAAAAAUCUCGCGUCCGCGACAUAAAUGAUGCGGCUAGACUGCAUAUCUUCUCUUCUCUUCCUCUUCCAUUCACAGACCACAAGCUCUCUCUUCCAUUCACAGACCACCACCACGAGCUCUCUUCUCCGAUAGAUGCAGGACACAGACCUCGAGCUCUCUCUCUUCUCCGAUUGACGAAGACUUCGAGCUCUCUCUCUCUUCUCUGAUAGACUCAGACCUCGAGCUCUCUCAUCUCUUCGUCCUCGAGCUUAGACCUCUCUUUGAGCUUCGACCAAACCCAUAUCGAGCUUUCUCUUCUCCUCCACAGACGACGCCUCUCGAGCUCCCUCGUCUCCUCCACAGACGCAUCUGGAGAUCUCUCCAUCUCCAACGCAUCUCAAGCUCGCUCUCCACCUCUCUCAAGCUCUCGACCCUCUCUCCAUCUCGAGCUCUCCAUCUCUCUCAAGCUCUCCAUCUCGGUUCUAAGCUUAUGUUUUGUUCAUGUGUGGGUUUAUUCAUCCUUGGUAAGCCAUCCGAGUAUUGGCUCUCUCAUAUCAAACUCUCUCCAAGCUCAGACCCACUCAAGUCUCUCAAGUUCAGACUCUCAAGCUCAGACCCUCUCAAGCUCAGACUGCUGCUCGAGGUCUGUUGUGAUAGUCUAGAUGUUUGAAUUGUCUCAAGCUUGCUCAGACUACCAUUGUUCUUCUCCAGCUUGCUCAGACUAUGUGAUCUUUUUUCAUUAUUCUCUUGUUGUACAAAGAAACUUGUCAUUGUAUUGGAAAAUCUGUAUCAAAGAACAUAAUUUUGUUUCAAAUCUCAUCUAUUUCUUUUUA
Molecule: long non-coding RNA, 943 nt
Organism: Raphanus sativus (radish)
Lineage: Eukaryota; Viridiplantae; Streptophyta; Magnoliopsida; Brassicales; Brassicaceae
Exons: 4
Source: RefSeq, a predicted model, not a curated record